CAGGCUUAACACAUGCAAGUCGAGGGGCAGCAUGGUCUUAGCUUGCUAAGGCCGAUGGCGACCGGCGCACGGGUGAGUAACACGUAUCCAACCUGCCGUCUACUCUUGGACAGCCUUCUGAAAGGAAGAUUAAUACAAGAUGGCAUCAUGAGUCCGCAUGUUCACAUGAUUAAAGGUAUUCCGGUAGACGAUGGGGAUGCGUUCCAUUAGAUAGUAGGCGGGGUAACGGCCCACCUAGUCUUCGAUGGAUAGGGGUUCUGAGAGGAAGGUCCCCCACAUUGGAACUGAGACACGGUCCAAACUCCUACGGGAGGCAGCAGUGAGGAAUAUUGGUCAAUGGGCGAGAGCCUGAACCAGCCAAGUAGCGUGAAGGAUGACUGCCCUAUGGGUUGUAAACUUCUUUUAUAAAGGAAUAAAGUCGGGUAUGGAUACCCGUUUGCAUGUACUUUAUGAAUAAGGAUCGGCUAACUCCGUGCCAGCAGCCGCGGUAAUACGGAGGAUCCGAGCGUUAUCCGGAUUUAUUGGGUUUAAAGGGAGCGUAGAUGGAUGUUUAAGUCAGUUGUGAAAGUUUGCGGCCCAACCGUAAAAUUGCAGUUGAUACUGGAUAUCUUGAGUGCAGUUGAGGCAGGCGGAAUUCGUGGUGUAGCGGUGAAAUGCUUAGAUAUCACGAAGAACUCCGAUUGCGAAGGCAGCCUGCUAAGCUGCAACUGACAUUGAGGCUCGAAAGUGUGGGUAUCAAACAGGAUUAGAUACCCUGGUAGUCCACACGGUAAACGAUGAAUACUCGCUGUUUGCGAUAUACUGCAAGCGACCAAGCGAAAGCGUUAAGUAUUCCACCUGGGGAGUACGCCGGCAACGGUGAAACUCAAAGGAAUUGACGGGGGCCCGCACAAGCGGAGGAACAUGUGGUUUAAUUCGAUGAUACGCGAGGAACCUUACCCGGGCUUAAAUUGCAGAUGAAUUACGGUGAAAGCCGUAAGCCGCAAGGCAUCUGUGAAGGUGCUGCAUGGUUGUCGUCAGCUCGUGCCGUGAGGUGUCGGCUUAAGUGCCAUAACGAGCGCAACCCUUGUUGUCAGUUACUAACAGGUUCCGCUGAGGACUCUGACAAGACUGCCAUCGUAAGAUGUGAGGAAGGUGGGGAUGACGUCAAAUCAGCACGGCCCUUACGUCCGGGGCUACACACGUGUUACAAUGGGGGGUACAGAGGGCCGCUACCACGCGAGUGGAUGCCAAUCCCCAAAACCUCUCUCAGUUCGGACUGGAGUCUGCAACCCGACUCCACGAAGCUGGAUUCGCUAGUAAUCGCGCAUCAGCCACGGCGCGGUGAAUACGUUCCCGGGCCUUGUACACACCGCCCGUCAAGCCAUGGGAGCCGGGGGUACCUGAAGUGCGUAACCGCGAGGAGCGCCCUAGGGUAAAACUGGUGACUGG
This 1431-nucleotide ribosomal RNA is filed under the name uncultured bacterium. RNAcentral describes it as "16S ribosomal RNA". It matches the Rfam family "Bacterial small subunit ribosomal RNA". The record is from RNAcentral.